GCCGGCGUAGCUCAGUGGUAGAGCAGCUGAUUCGUAAUCAGCAGGCCGUGGGUUCGACCCCCUCCGCCGGCUCCA
RNAcentral lists this transfer RNA (75 nucleotides) under Candidatus Methylomirabilota bacterium. RNAcentral describes it as "candidate division NC10 bacterium (sediment metagenome) tRNA-Thr". It matches the Rfam family "tRNA". From Rfam's summary of the family: Transfer RNA (tRNA) molecules are approximately 80 nucleotides in length. The record is from RNAcentral. Lineage: Bacteria; Methylomirabilota (SeqCode).